AGCUCACUCUCAGCCACAAAGUCAUCGAGUUACGACACUUGGAGAAAACAAUUCCUCAAAACUCGCUCUCGGGUCGUCACCCUAAGUGCGCUCUCGGAUCGUCACCCGAAGCCACUGUACCCCUCGCACUCUAAAGACGCCAAGUUGAUAGUAGGAUUUUUACUCAAUUAAUCCCUAAAACACUAUCUUGUUGUUGUAGUAUUUUAGGAUGUCAAUCCAAUCCGGUGUGAUGCAAACAUAUGAGAUAUGAUCAAAAAGCUCUAAGUCAAGCCAAGCAGAUAGUUGGUUGGUUCUAACAGUCCUAGUAUGCAAUGACAGAAAUGAAAUAAAACUAAAAGCAGAAAUGGCAAUAGCAAGCAAGUGAAUGACAAAGCAGAAAUGAUAACAGGCAAUCAAAUGGAUAAACGAUUCCUAAGGAUGGGGUAAUCGAAUAGUGUGGUCUACUUAAUUUAUUCAGGCGGUUGACAAAACUUCACAGAAGCUAUCCCUAGACAACAAGUUCAACAACAGAUUAAUUCACUCCCGUGAUAGAAAUCCUCAAGCAAAGCUAGACACUGACCUAAAUCCCUUUAGCGAUCUCUAACUAAGCAGGCAUUAUCGAAUCAACAUGUUAAAGUCAAUACCCUCUCUACAGCCAAUCCCUUGGGGUAGAGUCAGAUAUCUCUGGAAUUAAUAGGAUCCAACGCCCAUUAAACGCCUUCUGAGCGCUGGACAUCUGGACUCAUACUCCACAUUAGCCAGUGAAAUAAGCAAUAAGCGCAACUAAUCCAGAAGGGAUUCUAGUAUUCUAAACUCAACCACCAAGUAAACCACAACUAUUCUAUCCCAUCCUCAGAAAUACAAUUCACUACUCAGACAUAAUCAAAGACAAUAACAAAGCAACAAUUGAAAACAUGAUAACAGAAAUGACGAAAGACUUAAACGAAAACUGAAUAUCAAAUACUUGAAGGCGAAACUACAAAGUCGCAGGAGAAACACUGCGGCUAUCAAAGUUGCAAAAAUGUAAAAGCGAGAUAACAACGGAUAAUAGCGGAUGCCCUAGGGAAAACCCUAAGAGGUAGUUUAUAUAAGCGAAAAAUGAAACAAAUAAAGAA
Molecule: small RNA, 1094 nt
Filed under: Arabidopsis thaliana (thale cress)
Lineage: Eukaryota; Viridiplantae; Streptophyta; Magnoliopsida; Brassicales; Brassicaceae
Description: ATSL160910
Source: RNAcentral